RNAcentral lists this ribosomal RNA (483 nucleotides) under Escherichia coli. RNAcentral describes it as "bacterial SSU rRNA". It matches the Rfam family "Bacterial small subunit ribosomal RNA", at positions 129 to 607 of the family's 1533-position model. The record is from RNAcentral. Lineage: Bacteria; Pseudomonadati; Pseudomonadota; Gammaproteobacteria; Enterobacterales; Enterobacteriaceae.
CCUGAUGGAGGGGGAUAACUACUGGAAACGGUAGCUAAUACCGCAUAACGUCGCAAGACCAAAGAGGGGGACCUUCGGGCCUCUUGCCAUCGGAUGUGCCCAGAUGGGAUUAGCUUGUUGGUGGGGUAACGGCUCACCAAGGCGACGAUCCCUAGCUGGUCUGAGAGGAUGACCAGCCACACUGGAACUGAGACACGGUCCAGACUCCUACGGGAGGCAGCAGUGGGGAAUAUUGCACAAUGGGCGCAAGCCUGAUGCAGCCAUGCCGCGUGUAUGAAGAAGGCCUUCGGGUUGUAAAGUACUUUCAGCGGGGAGGAAGGGAGUAAAGUUAAUACCUUUGCUCAUUGACGUUACCCGCAGAAGAAGCACCGGCUAACUCCGUGCCAGCAGCCGCGGUAAUACGGAGGGUGCAAGCGUUAAUCGGAAUUACUGGGCGUAAAGCGCACGCAGGCGGUUUGUUAAGUCAGAUGUGAAAUCCCCCGG